This 200-nucleotide long non-coding RNA is filed under the name Elaeis guineensis (African oil palm). Its description in RNAcentral is "long non-coding RNA (EGUI_LNC059824)". Lineage: Eukaryota; Viridiplantae; Streptophyta; Magnoliopsida; Arecales; Arecaceae. The record is from RNAcentral.
GGGGAGUUACUUCCUAUCGUUAUAAGCAUAUGCCAAAAGAAAAAAUACGCGAAUAUGAAAGAAAUUUUUAUUUAGGGUAAAGUUGUUAGUAAUACAUUCGUAAAUUUUUCGAACCCUAUAGCCGCGGAAGGUUUGCCCUCCGUCGGGGUCCUCCUGAGAUGGAGUUGAUAAUCCCAAUCGGAGGUCGAUCUUCAGGUUGC